RNAcentral lists this ribosomal RNA (447 nucleotides) under uncultured bacterium. RNAcentral's name for it is "partial 16S ribosomal RNA". It matches the Rfam family "Bacterial small subunit ribosomal RNA", at positions 338 to 795 of the family's 1533-position model. The record is from RNAcentral.
CCUACGGGCGGCAGCAGUGGGGAAUCUUGCGCAAUGGGCGGAAGCCUGACGCAGCGACGCCGCGUGCGGGUCGAAGGCCUUCGGGUCGUAAACCGCUUUCAGCAGGGACGAGGCCCUCACGGUGACGGUACCUGCAGAAGAAGCCCCGGCUAACUACGUGCCAGCAGCCGCGGUACUACGGGGGGGGCGAGCGUUAUCCGGAUUCAUUGGGCGAAAAGCGCGCGUAGGGGGCCUGGUAGGUCGGGGGUCAAAUACUGGGGCUCAACCCCGGUCCGCCCACGAUAACGGCAGGCUUGAGUCUGGUAGGGGAAGGCGGAAUUCCCAGUGUAGCGGUUGAAUGCGCAGAUAUUGGGAAGAACACCGGCGGCGAAGGCGGCCUUCUGGGCCACGACUGACGCUGAGGCGCGAAAGCUAGGGGAGCGAACAGGAUUAGAUACCCGGGUAGUC